CCUACGGGAGGCUGCCGUGAGGAAUAUUGGUCAAUGGACGAGAGUCUGAACCAGCCAAGUAGCGUGAAGGAUGACUGCCCUAUGGGUUGUAAACUUCUUUUAUAUGGGAAUAAAAUGUUCCACGUGUGGGAUUUUGUAUGUACCAUAUGAAUAAGGAUCGGCUAACUCCGUGCCAGCAGCCGCGGUAAUACGGAGGAUCCGAGCGUUAUCCGGAUUUAUUGGGUUUAAAGGGAGCGUAGGUGGAUUGUUAAGUCAGUUGUGAAAGUUUGCGGCUCAACCGUAAAAUUGCAGUUGAAACUGGCAGUCUUGAGUACAGUAGAGGUGGGCGGAAUUCGUGGUGUAGCGGUGAAAUGCUUAGAUAUCACGAAGAACUCCGAUUGCGAAGGCAGUUCACUGGACUGCAACUGACACUGAGGCUCGAAAGUGUGGGUAUCAAACAGGAUUAGAUACCCGUAUAGUC
RNAcentral lists this ribosomal RNA (460 nucleotides) under uncultured bacterium. RNAcentral's name for it is "partial 16S ribosomal RNA". It matches the Rfam family "Bacterial small subunit ribosomal RNA", at positions 338 to 795 of the family's 1533-position model. The record is from RNAcentral.